Molecule: transfer RNA, 117 nt
Filed under: Mucilaginibacter polytrichastri
Lineage: Bacteria; Pseudomonadati; Bacteroidota; Sphingobacteriia; Sphingobacteriales; Sphingobacteriaceae
Description: tRNA-Asp
Source: RNAcentral
UGUAGGGUGGUGAAAUUUUUGGCAGACACACCUCCUUGUCCCGGUGGCGGAGAGUUUGGGAAAAUCCAGCUUGCUGGUAAUAACCACUCUGUGAAGGUUCGAGUCCUUCCCCUACAG